AACGAACGCUGGCGGCAGGCUUAACACAUGCAAGUCGAACGGAUGUAGCAAUACAUCAGUGGCAGACGGGUGAGUAACACGUGGGAACCUUCCUCGUUGUACGGGACAACUCAGGGAAACUUGAGCUAAUACCGUAUACGUCCGAGAGGAGAAAGAUUUAUCGCAAUGAGACGGGCCCGCGUCGGAUUAGCUAGUUGGUGGGGUAACGGCCUACCAAGGCGACGAUCCGUAGCUGANCUGAGAGGAUGAUCAGCCACACUGGGACUGAGACACGGCCCAGACUCCUACGGGAGGCAGCAGUGGGAAUCUUGGACAAUGGCGCAAGCCUGAUCCAGCCAUGCCGCGUGAGUGAAGAAGGCCUUAGGGUUGUAAAGCUCUUUUGCC
This 384-nucleotide ribosomal RNA is filed under the name uncultured bacterium. RNAcentral describes it as "bacterial SSU rRNA". It matches the Rfam family "Bacterial small subunit ribosomal RNA", at positions 29 to 440 of the family's 1533-position model. The record is from RNAcentral.